GACGAACGCUGGCGGCGUGCCUAAUACAUGCAAGUAGAACGCAGUUGCGAACGGGUGAGUAACGCGUAGGUAACUGCCUGGUAGCGGGGGGUAACUAUUGGAUACGAUAGCUAAUACCGCUUACUACCAGAUGGACCUUCGUUGUAUUAGCUAGUCGGUGAGGUAACGGCUCACCAAGGCAACGAUACAUAGCCGACCUGGAAGGGUGAUCAGCCAAACUGGGACUGGGACACGGCCCAGACUCCGACGGGAGGCAGCAGUAGGGAAUCGUCGGCAAUGGGGGGAACCCUGACCAAGCAACGCCGCGUGAGUGAAGAAGGUUUUCGGAUCGUAAAGCUCUGUUGGUAAGGAAGCGGUACUUAACCAGAAAGGGACGGCUAACUACGUGCCAGCAGCCGCGGUAAUUC
This 407-nucleotide ribosomal RNA is filed under the name uncultured bacterium. RNAcentral describes it as "partial 16S ribosomal RNA". It matches the Rfam family "Bacterial small subunit ribosomal RNA", at positions 28 to 526 of the family's 1533-position model. The record is from RNAcentral.